RNAcentral lists this ribosomal RNA (492 nucleotides) under uncultured bacterium. RNAcentral describes it as "partial 16S ribosomal RNA". It matches the Rfam family "Bacterial small subunit ribosomal RNA", at positions 29 to 523 of the family's 1533-position model. The record is from RNAcentral.
AUUGAACGCUGGCGGCAUGCCUUACACAUGCAAGUCGAACGGUAACAGGUUAAGCUGACGAGUGGCGAACGGGUGAGUAAUGUAUCGGAACGUGCCCAGUUGUGGGGGAUAACUGCUCGAAAGAGCAGCUAAUACCGCAUACGACCUGAGGGUGAAAGCGGGGGAUCGCAAGACCUCGCGCAAUUGGAGCGGCCGAUAUAAGAUAGGUAGGUGGUGGGGUAAAGGCUCACCAAGCCGACGAUCUGUAGCUGGCCUGAGAGGACGACCAGCCACACUGGGACUGGGACACGGCCCAGACUCCUACGGGAGGCAGCAGUGGGGAAUUUUGGACAAUGGGCGCAAGCCUGAUCCAGCCAUGCCGCGUGCGGGAAGAAGGCCUUCGGGUUGUAAACCGCUUUUGUCAGGGAAGAAACGCUCUGGGUUAAUACCCCGGGGUAAUGACGGUACCUGAAGAAUAAGCACCGGCUAACUACGUGCCAGCAGCAGCCGCCG